AUCAGAUUGUUCCAGGGAAAUCUCAUAGGCUUAAUAAAUUUCAAACAGGCAAGGACAGGCUUAUAGGACUGAGGUUCCUUAAAAGGAAAACUUUGAAGAAAGUAAUACAGCAAUAAACAAAAUAAGGAAGCACAAACCUUGGAGUCAGCCAUUCUAGCCUUCAGCAACAGAGAUAUUCACAAGAAUACUUGGAUCGCUAUAUACUGAUCACUCCCCACGAGCAGGUUUGUGGAAACAGGACUGGCACUCUGGUUAGGUUUCCUCUCUACAGAUGUCCCCGCCACCCAACCACUCUGUCCUAUAGAGGGACUGGAAAGCUGUGGCGGCUCACCCUAAAUCGCCACGACUCUCUACAACAAGGAGCAAAGAAAAGUUCUUCACAGCAUCACACCAGGAAAGGCAGCCUCUUUAGGCAAAGACCCGCGGCCUCGGUGCUCCCCACCCCACCCCUCGUGCACCGCCACCGGCUCUCCCGCAGCUCUGGAGCGCUGUUUACCUAAUUUCAGCGGCAGACCCAGCAAAGGAGAAUGCAAAACGACGGUAGCGGUUACACAGCGGCGUCCCCGGCGAAGAAGUAAAACACGUUUGCACUGGAGCUUCUGGAUAAGUUAACUGCGAAGCCGGGGUCCUGCUGGCUUAUCUCCGCGGGGAUGAGUCUCACCCUGCACGUUUGCAGGGAUAGGAGAUCGUUAUCUGGUUUUGAUGUCACUACCGUGUCGGAGAAGAACAUUAGAUGAUAAAAUAUUAUCUAAUAUCCUAGAGACCAUUAAAGUGUCAAAGUUUAAUGUCAA
Long non-coding RNA from Herpailurus yagouaroundi (jaguarundi), 791 nucleotides. RefSeq lists it as uncharacterized. The transcript has 2 exons. The record is from RefSeq and is a predicted model, not a curated record. Lineage: Eukaryota; Metazoa; Chordata; Mammalia; Carnivora; Felidae.